Molecule: ribosomal RNA, 264 nt
Filed under: uncultured bacterium
Lineage: Bacteria
Description: partial 16S ribosomal RNA
Rfam family: Bacterial small subunit ribosomal RNA
Source: RNAcentral
CAAUGGCAGGUACAGAGGGAUGCUACCGGGCGACCGGAUGCGGAUCUCGAAAGCCUGUCCCAGUUCGGACUGGAGUCUGCAACCCGACUCCACGAAGUUGGAUUCGCUAGUAAUCGCGCAUCAGCCAUGGCGCGGUGAAUACGUUCCCGGGCCUUGUACACACCGCCCGUCAAGCCAUGGGAGCCGGGGGCGCCUGAAGUCCGGGACCGCGAGGACCGGCCUAGGGCGAAACUGGUAACUGGGGCUAAGUCGUAACAAGGUAGC